RNAcentral lists this ribosomal RNA (253 nucleotides) under uncultured bacterium. RNAcentral's name for it is "partial 16S ribosomal RNA". It matches the Rfam family "Bacterial small subunit ribosomal RNA", at positions 524 to 776 of the family's 1533-position model. The record is from RNAcentral.
UACGAGGGGUGCGAGCGUUGCUCGGAAUUAUUGGGCGUAAAGGGUAGGUAGGUGGUUUCAUUUGUCUGGGGUGAAAGCCUUGGGCUUAACUCAAGAAGUGCCCCGGAAACGGUGAAACUCGAGUACUGGAGAGGGUCGUGGAAUUCCUGGUGUAGCGGUGAAAUGCGCAGAUAUCAGGAAGAACACCCGUGGCUAAGGCGGCUCUCUAGUACGGUACUGACGCUGAGACGCGAAAGCGUGGGGAGCGAACAGG